This 156-nucleotide non-coding RNA is filed under the name Habropoda laboriosa. RNAcentral describes it as "Eukaryotic large subunit ribosomal RNA". It matches the Rfam family "Eukaryotic large subunit ribosomal RNA", at positions 2139 to 2288 of the family's 3401-position model. Lineage: Eukaryota; Metazoa; Arthropoda; Insecta; Hymenoptera; Apidae. The record is from Rfam by way of RNAcentral.
UGUCUAAUUAAAACAAAGCAUUGCGAUGGCCCCCACGGGUGUUGACGCAAUGUGAUUUCUGCCCAGUGCUCUGAAUGUCAACGUGAAGAAAUUCAAAAAAGCGCGGGUAAACGGCGGAAGUAACUAUGACUCUCCAGCUGGCACUAGUAUCCGAGA